GAAUGCCCUUUCAAAUCCUGGG
This 22-nucleotide microRNA is filed under the name Capitella teleta. Its description in RNAcentral is "cte-miR-365". Its record names the gene cte-miR-365. The record is from miRBase by way of RNAcentral. Lineage: Eukaryota; Metazoa; Annelida; Polychaeta; Capitellidae.